This 252-nucleotide ribosomal RNA is filed under the name uncultured bacterium. RNAcentral's name for it is "partial 16S ribosomal RNA". It matches the Rfam family "Bacterial small subunit ribosomal RNA", at positions 524 to 776 of the family's 1533-position model. The record is from RNAcentral.
UACGGAGGGUGCGAGCGUUGUCCGGAUUCAUUGGGCGUAAAGGGCGCGUAGGUGGCGUAUUCAGUCGGGCGUGAAAGAGCUGGGCUUAGCCUGGUUAAGCGUCCGGGACGGAUAGGCUGGAGUGUGGUCGAGGGAUGUGGAAUGCCGGGUGUAGUGGUGAAAUGCGUAGAGAUCCGGCGGAACACCAGUGGCGAAAGCGGCGUUCUAGGCCACAACUGACACUGAGGCGCGAGAGCGUGGGGAGCGAACCGG